Molecule: transfer RNA, 71 nt
Filed under: Trichechus manatus latirostris (Florida manatee)
Lineage: Eukaryota; Metazoa; Chordata; Mammalia; Sirenia; Trichechidae
Description: tRNA-Gly (CCC) (tRNA-Gly-CCC-4-1)
Rfam family: tRNA
About the family: Transfer RNA (tRNA) molecules are approximately 80 nucleotides in length.
Source: Rfam by way of RNAcentral
GCAGUGGUGGUUCAGUGGUAGAAUUCUUGCCUCCCAAGCAGGAGACCCAGGUUCGAUUCUUGGCCAAUGCA